RNAcentral lists this unclassified non-coding RNA (204 nucleotides) under uncultured fungus. Its description in RNAcentral is "partial contains 18S rRNA, ITS1, 5.8S rRNA". The record is from RNAcentral. Lineage: Eukaryota; Fungi.
GCGGAGGGAUCAUUACAAGUUGACCCCGGCCCUCGGGCCGGGAUGUUCACAACCCUUUGUUGUCCGACUCUGUUGCCUCCGGGGCGACCCUGCCUCCGGGCGGGGGCCCCGGGUGGACAUUUCAAACUCUUGCGUAACUUUGCAGUCUGAGUAAAUUUAAUUAAUGAAUUAAAACUUUCAACAACGGAUCUCUUGGUUCUGGCA